This 73-nucleotide transfer RNA is filed under the name human gut metagenome. It matches the Rfam family "tRNA". From Rfam's summary of the family: Transfer RNA (tRNA) molecules are approximately 80 nucleotides in length. Their secondary structure includes four short double-helical elements and three loops (D, anti-codon, and T loops). Further hydrogen bonds mediate the characteristic L-shaped molecular structure. tRNAs have two regions of fundamental functional importance: the anti-codon, which is responsible for specific mRNA codon recognition, and the 3' end, to which the tRNAs corresponding amino acid is attached (by aminoacyl-tRNA synthetases). tRNAs cope with the degeneracy of the genetic code in two manners: having more than one tRNA (with a specific anti-codon) for a particular amino acid; and 'wobble' base-pairing, i.e. permitting non-standard base-pairing at the 3rd anti-codon position. RNAcentral also lists the same sequence under 2 other names. The record is from RNAcentral.
GGGGCGUAGCUCAGAUUGGUUAGAGCGCAUGCCUGUCACGCAUGAGGUCGCGGGUUCGAUCCCCGUCGUCCCC